AUCACUGGUGUUCGGGUUGUCAUGCCAAUGGCACUGCCCGGUAGCUAAAUGCGGAAGAGAUAAGUGCUGAAAGCAUCUAAGCACGAAACUUGCCCCGAGAUGAGUUCUCCCUGACUCCUUGAGAGUCCUGAAGGAACGUUGAAGACGACGACGUUGAUAGGCCGGGUGUGUAAGCGCAGCGAUGCGUUGAGCUAACCGGUACUAAUGAACCGUGAGGCUUAACCUUACAACGCCGAAGGUGUUU
Molecule: ribosomal RNA, 244 nt
Filed under: Escherichia coli
Lineage: Bacteria; Pseudomonadati; Pseudomonadota; Gammaproteobacteria; Enterobacterales; Enterobacteriaceae
Also listed under: 3 other names
Description: partial 23S ribosomal RNA
Rfam family: Bacterial large subunit ribosomal RNA
Source: RNAcentral